Molecule: non-coding RNA, 157 nt
Organism: Plasmodium billcollinsi
Lineage: Eukaryota; Apicomplexa; Aconoidasida; Haemosporida; Plasmodiidae
Source: the annotation of a GenBank genome assembly
CUUCUUUACCGAAGACUGCAGCAUAAAUAUAUAGCUAUUAAGGCGAUGAAGAAAAAAUUGCGUUAAAUUUAAAAAUCUGAUAAAUAAAAUAUUAAUAAAAUUUAUUUUGUUAUUUUUUUAUUUUGAGAUGAUAAAACGUAAGAUAGCAGAGCCUUUU